Molecule: long non-coding RNA, 113 nt
Organism: Melanotaenia boesemani (Boeseman's rainbowfish)
Lineage: Eukaryota; Metazoa; Chordata; Actinopteri; Atheriniformes; Melanotaeniidae
Exons: 3
Source: RefSeq, a predicted model, not a curated record
AGAGCUUUUUGCAAGAAUCCAGAUGUUUUAAAAAGGUUGGUGCUAUGUUCAAGCACUUUGUCACUUUAUUACAGAAACAGAAAUGUAAUCUGUUGAUGUGACCCUAACAAAUA